This 699-nucleotide long non-coding RNA is filed under the name Mytilus galloprovincialis (Mediterranean mussel). Lineage: Eukaryota; Metazoa; Mollusca; Bivalvia; Mytilida; Mytilidae. The record is from RNAcentral.
ACACAAUAAAAACAAUUAUACCAAGCAUGUUUCAAUAGAUAGACCAUCUAACAUUAUAGUACUAUCUUACUACACAAUAAAAACCAAUUAUACCAAGCAUGUUUCAAUAGAUAGACCAUCUAACAUCAUAGUACUAUCUUACUACACAAUAAAAACCAAUUAUACCAAGCAUGUUUCAAUAGAUAGACCAUCUAACAUCAUAGUACUAUCUUUACUACACAAUAAAAACCAAUUAUACCAAGCAUGUUUCAAUAGAUAGACCAUCUAACAUCAUAGUACUAUCUUACUACACAAUAAAAACCAAUUAUACCAAGCAUGUUUCAAUAGAUAGACCAUCUAACAUCAUAGUACUAUCUUACUACACAAUAAAAACCAAUUAUACCAAGCAUGUUUCAUAAGAUAGACCAUCUAACAUCAUAGUACUAUCUUACUACACAAUAAAAACCAAUUAUACCAAGAAUGUUUCAAUAGAUAGACAUCUAACAUCAUAGUACUAUCUUACUAUACAAUAAAAACCAAUUAUACCAAGCAUGUUUCAUUAGAUAGACCAUCUAACAUUAUAGUACUAUCUUACUACACAAUAAAAACCAAUUAUACCAAGCAUGUUUCAAUAGAUAGAACAUCUAACAUCAUAGUACUAUCUUACUACACAAUAAAAACCAAUUAUACCAAGCAUGUUUCAUUAGAUAGACCAUCUUA